GAUUACAGCUGCCAGCCUAGAUCCAGGUUCAGUGAGAGACCUGUCUGAAGGGAACAAGGCAGAGAGUGAUAGUGUGGGACCCUGGCACUCUCCUCAGGCCAUACACACAAUAUAUAUACCAUACACAUACAAUAAAGUACUUAUUAAAAUGAAACUGCUAUGGUGGUGCCUGCUUUAGAUCCCAGGAGUUCAAGACCAGCCUACAUCAGUAAGUCUAAGGCUAUCCUGGGUUACUUGAGACCCUAUAUAAACAAAGAAAGAAAGAAAAAUUUUUAGAACUGAGCAUGGUGGCACACACGCCUUUAAUCUUAGCACUUGGGAGGCAGAAGUAGACACUUCUCUUGAGUUUGAGGCCAGCCUGGUCCACAGAACAAGUUCUAGGAAAGCUGGGAUUACACAGAGAAACCCUAUCUCAAAAAACCAACAAGAAGAAGUAAUUUCAGGGUCUUUUAGUAAUCAUAACCUCAAACUAACAGUGGCAGAAUCUUUUUGAAGUGGAAUAGCCUAAACUAUAUAGACUUUGUUUCUUGUUUUUGCUGUUGUUUGUUUAUUUACUUUUAAGAAAUGUCACAUUUAGAAAGAAAGACACGGUACAGCAAUUUAAAUAAUUGGGUUUUUAAAAUAAUUGCAAGUUAUGAUCUUGAAUGGAGUCUUUAACUGAACAAAUACUCUUCUACCUUCAGGUUGUAUCAUAAUAAUGACUACUAAUUAAGAAUAUUGAAAUAGCACUGGCUAGAUGGCUCUGUGGGGGAAGACAUCUGCCAGCAGCCUGAUCAUCAGAGUUCCUACGUGAUGGGGAGACAUGGGCUCCUACAAGUUGCUCUGUGACUUCCACAUGUACAUUGUAGCAUUCAUGCACCCACAAACAUACAGAUGCAUAAGACAAAUACUACGUGGUAAAGGUACAUUUUAAAAAUAAAAUAAAAAUUUUCAAAUUGAAAUGCAAUUAAUAUAAGUUGGCUGUGAAAUGUAAAUGUUUCCAUGCCGACUACAAAAGCAGAACUAUGUUGAUAAUGUCAAAUUUUAAAGAGAACAAAAUGAAUCCUCAGAGUUCUACUUUUUCAAGUCAAUACUUGAAAUUAGUGGAAACAGCUUAAAAGCAAGCGCCAGAGCAUUAAGAAUUACCCCCUGGAGCUGGAGAGGUGGCUCAGUGGUCAGAGCACUGCUGCUCUUCCAGAGGACCCACAUGGCAGCUCACAACCACUCCAGUCCCAGGGAACCUAGCAUCCUCUUCAGGCUUCCUUGAGCACCAGGCACACACAUGCAUGGUUCAGAGAUUUAUACAUAAAAAUAAUUAAAAGAAGACUUACAGCCCUUCCUCAAAGGAAUGCAAAAGAAAAUGACCUUGGAUAUUUUGUAAGAUUCAUAAUGGAAAUCAGAAUGUUUGUGUAGUAUUAUGCCCUAACACUUAGCCUACGCAUUGUGCCCUGGCUUAAGUAAUACCAGUAUGUUUUUGCCUUGUUUCUAUCAGUUUCUCACUUGUCCACACUCACAAACAUAAGCCUCAGAUCAGAGACACAUUUCUGUAUUAGUAACACACAGUUUAGAAAGGCUGAGUGUCACAUUUAACCUUUUAAUGGGGUCUUGGAGCUGUUUUCUCUCAAAAACAAAACUCUUCUCUUCAUGAAUCAUCUAUUUUUGUCUUGUUAAAUGAGAUCCACUGUAAGAAGUUUAUUUGAACAUUUAUAUACUAAAUACAGUAUAUAAACAUCAGAUGAAAAGUUACACUAUAAAAAUAAGUUCUUAGGGCUGGAGAGGUGAGGCUUUCCCAUUAAAAGUCCUUGCUGCUCUAGUAGAGGAUCAAAUUUGAUUCCUAGCAAGCACAUCAGGCAGCUCACCACCCUCUAACUCCAGCAUGCCCAGCAUACAAAGUAAAAGCUAAAGUACAUUCAGAACUAAUGAUAGCGAAAUCUAGUGCUCUUCUUCGCUCAUGAUCGUCAGAAAUGAAUCCAAAGACCUGUAAUCCUUUCCCUUGACCAAAUAGCACCUUCCAGAAGCAUAAGAUUUGCAUUCAGAACAUGAUAAAUAUUUUAAAUGCAUAGCUUUAUGCCAGAGAGAUGGCUUAGCAGGUGUAGGCAGUUGUCACCAAGCCUGGUGACCUAAAUUUGAUCCUUCAAACCCUCACUCCCAAAAGACAUCUACAGACACACACACACACACACACACACACACACAUACACACACACAGAAUGUUCUGUUCUUUUCUUUUUUCUUUCUUUCUCUUUUUUUGUUUUGUUUGUUUGUUUGUUUUUGAGACAGGGUUUUUCUGAAUAGCCCUGGCUGUCCUGGAACUCACUCUGUAGACCAGGCUGGACUCGAACUCAGAACUCUACCUGCCUCUGCUUCCCAAGUCCUGGGAUUAAAGACAUGUGCCACCACUAUACAGCUAUAGUGUUCUUUUCAAAGGCUAGAACUGUUUUUUCUGUUUUUAAUGUGAAUUUAAGGAAGGUAGAGUUUAGAUUCUUCUUUUUUCUUUUUUUUUUUUAAGAUUUAUUUAUUUAUUAUAUGUAAGUACACUGUGGCUGUCUUCAGACACACCAGAAGAGGGCGUCAGAUCUUUUUACGAGUGGUUGUGAGCCACCAUAUGGUUGCUGGGAUUUGAACUCAUGACCUUCGGAAGAGCAGUCAGUGCUUUUUACCCGUUGAGCCAUCUCACCAGCCCUAGGUUCUUAUUUCUAU
This 2679-nucleotide long non-coding RNA is filed under the name Mus musculus (house mouse). Its description in RNAcentral is "long non-coding RNA chr1:86120882-86123561". Lineage: Eukaryota; Metazoa; Chordata; Mammalia; Rodentia; Muridae. The record is from RNAcentral.